Molecule: ribosomal RNA, 377 nt
Filed under: uncultured delta proteobacterium
Lineage: Bacteria; Deltaproteobacteria
Description: bacterial SSU rRNA
Rfam family: Bacterial small subunit ribosomal RNA
Source: RNAcentral
UAAUACGGAGGGUGCAAACGUUGUUCGGAAUUAUUGGGCGUAAAGAGCAUGUAGGCGGUCUGUCAAGUCUGAUGUGAAAGCCCGGGGCUCAACCCCGGAAGUGCAUUGGAAACUGGCAGACUUGAGUACGGGAGAGGAAAGUGGAAUUUCGAGUGUAGGGGUGAGAUCCGUAGAUAUUCGAAGGAACACCAGUGGCGAAGGCGGCUUUCUGGACCGAUACUGACGCUGAGAUGCGAAAGCGUGGGGAGCAAACAGGAUUAGAUACCCUGGUAGUCCACGCCGUAAACGAUGGGUACUAGGUGUUGCGGGUAUUGACCCCUGCAGUGCCAAAGCUAACGCAUUAAGUACCCCGCCUGGGGAGUACGGCCGCAAGGCUA